Long non-coding RNA from Octopus sinensis (East Asian common octopus), 228 nucleotides. RefSeq lists it as uncharacterized. NCBI's taxonomy places the organism in Eukaryota, Metazoa, Mollusca, Cephalopoda, Octopoda, Octopodidae. The transcript is spliced from 3 exons. The record is from RefSeq and is a predicted model, not a curated record.
UCAUGUGCCAGUAAGGCAACGCUAGUAAUGAUCACGCUCAAAUGGUGCCUUUUAAGUGCCACUGGCACGGAAGCCGGUUAGCCGCUCUGUCAAUAGUCACACUCUUAUGGUGCUCUUUGCAGCCCGCUAGCACGGACGCCAGUCAUCUAAUUUGAUUUUGAUUUUGAUUUCACUUGCCUCAACAGGUCUUCGCAAGCAGAGUUUUAGUGUCCAUAGAAGUAAUAGAGA